This is a long non-coding RNA of Chiroxiphia lanceolata (lance-tailed manakin), 412 nucleotides long. RefSeq lists it as uncharacterized. The record is from RefSeq and is a predicted model, not a curated record. Lineage: Eukaryota; Metazoa; Chordata; Aves; Passeriformes; Pipridae. The transcript is spliced from 3 exons.
ACCCUGUGCUCUGGGAGACUGGGCAGCAGGUCACAGGGCAGAGUGAAGAAACCUUCGUCAAUAUGUGAAUGGUGUCAGUGUUUUCAUUCUGUUUCCAGUGAGGCAGUGGUCUCUUGCCCUAAGAAUGUCACCUGGACUUGUGGUGAAGAAAGAAUUUUUAUAGAUUUUUCUGAAAAUGAAAUUGAGAACUAAGCUCCUGGUGGCGGCUGUAGCCAUUGUGUGAAGUUUGGAACUCUGGAAACCCACUUAGAACGUCUUGGCCAGAAAAGGUUUGCUUGAUGCUGCUCCCAUAGUUCUUAUCCUUUCCCUUCUCAAGAUGUUAAGGCCACAUACAAGAACAGGGUUGUAACCCUGGGGAGACACAAAGACUGCUGCCCAGAAUCACACAAGAGAAAGGUCUGAGAUCACAUGG